This 252-nucleotide ribosomal RNA is filed under the name uncultured prokaryote. RNAcentral describes it as "partial 16S rRNA". It matches the Rfam family "Archaeal small subunit ribosomal RNA", at positions 475 to 726 of the family's 1478-position model. The record is from RNAcentral.
ACCGGCGGCUCGAGUGGUGGCCACUAUUACUGGGCUUAAAGCGUUCGUAGCUGGCUUGUUAAGUCUCUGGGGAAAUCUUCCGGCUCAACCGGAAGGCGUCUCAGGGAUACUGGCAGGCUAGGGACCGGAAGAGGUGAGAGGUACUCCAGGGGUAGGAGUCACAACGAGUGCUCAGGUGGGGAGGACGUGAGGCGAGGGCGGCACACCAGGAUGACUCCGAUUGUGAGGAACGAUAGCUGGGGGAGCAAUCAU